RNAcentral lists this long non-coding RNA (292 nucleotides) under Solanum tuberosum (potato). RNAcentral's name for it is "long non-coding RNA (STUB_LNC008782)". Lineage: Eukaryota; Viridiplantae; Streptophyta; Magnoliopsida; Solanales; Solanaceae. The record is from RNAcentral.
UAACCUUAUAUGCCAGAGAUUAUUGUUGUUUUUAUUGUUAGUCAUGGGUGCUGCCUUUAGUCCAGAUGUCAUGAGCUUUCCUUUCAUACCUGCAUCAAUCAUGUAUAAGCUUCCUUUCUUUCUACCAAUCCCCUUCACCUUGCCAUUGGAGAUGUCCUAAAAAACACAGAAAUCAGGGAAGAAAGUGACAAAGCAAGAGAUCUCUUCAGUCACUUUUGACACUGAUAACAGAUUAAACCUAAUCUCAGGAACAUAUAACACACCAUGUACUACCUCUUUCUCAAACAAAAUU